GACGAACGCUGGCGGCGUGCUUAACACAUGCUAGUCGAACGCUGAAGACCUGGCUUUUGUUGGGUUGGAUGAGUGGCGAACGGGUGAGUAACACGUGAGUAACCUGCCCUCUUCUUUGGGAUAACGCCCGGAAACGGGUGCUAAUACUGGAUAUUCACUGAUCUUCGCAUGGGGGUUGGUGGAAAGGUUUGUUCUGGUGGGGGAUGGGCUCGCGGCCUAUCAGCUUGUUGGUGGGGUGAUGGCCUACCAAGGCUUUGACGGGUAGCCGGCCUGAGAGGGUGACCGGUCACAUUGGGACUGAGAUACGGCCCAGACUCCUACGGGAGGCAGCAGUGGGGAAUAUUGCACAAUGGGCGAAAGCCUGAUGCAGCGACGCCGCGUGAGGGAUGGAGGCCUUCGGGUUGUAAACCUCUUUCGCUCAUGGUCAAGCCGCAACUGUGGGUUGUGGUGAGGGUAGUGGGUAAAGAAGCGCCGGCUAACUACGUG
This 486-nucleotide ribosomal RNA is filed under the name uncultured bacterium. Its description in RNAcentral is "partial 16S ribosomal RNA". It matches the Rfam family "Bacterial small subunit ribosomal RNA", at positions 28 to 507 of the family's 1533-position model. The record is from RNAcentral.